AGAUCACUGAAGUCAAGCAUCAUUGGGGCGCUGUCAGUACUUGGGUGGGUGACCACCUGGGAACACCGCGUGCCGUU
Molecule: non-coding RNA, 77 nt
Organism: Caerostris extrusa
Lineage: Eukaryota; Metazoa; Arthropoda; Arachnida; Araneae; Araneidae
Source: the annotation of a GenBank genome assembly